Non-coding RNA from Bordetella ansorpii, 422 nucleotides. It matches the Rfam family "transfer-messenger RNA". From Rfam's summary of the family: Bacterial tmRNA, also known as 10Sa RNA or SsrA, is named for its dual tRNA and mRNA-like properties. Its role is to liberate the mRNA from a stalled ribosome. The record is from Rfam. Lineage: Bacteria; Pseudomonadati; Pseudomonadota; Betaproteobacteria; Burkholderiales; Alcaligenaceae.
GGGGCCGAUCCGGAUUCGACGUGGGUCGCGAAACAGUUCAGGGCAUGCCGAGCACCAGUACGCUCGUAAAACCACUGGAAACAAUCAAACGCCAACGACGAGCGUUUCGCUCUCGCCGCUUAAGCGGUGAGCCGCUGCACCGAUCUGUCCUUGGGUCGGGCGGAGGAAGGGCAACCUUCCUAAGGAUUUCUGUCUAGGGCCUAUAUCCCCCGAAGCAGUUUCUUCCUGAACCGCAGCAGUGUUAUUCACAAGGAAUCGGCUUGCGCUGGGGUCACACGGCGUAGGUUUAAAUUACGUGAAUCGCUCUGGUCCGGCCUGUCGGUUGGCUAAGUCCAGGGUUAAAACGAAAUAGGCCGACUACGCAUGUAGAACUGACUGCAGAGGGCUUGCGGACGCGGGUUCAAUUCCCGCCGGCUCCACCA